UAUUACACCUUCAUGGUUUGUAUUGGCUUCAUCUGGGGAUAUCAACGAGUAAGAAAGGAUAGAAAUUGUAUCCUGGACUUCCCACAUCUCACAAGUCAACUAUAUCCCUUCCCCAGGCAGUUUAGACAGCGCUGAACCCUGUUACCAUCACAAGUAGGGCAAAGGCAAGGGUUCACAGCAAUGGGAUCAUAUAAAGGCGACCACUU
RNAcentral lists this unclassified non-coding RNA (206 nucleotides) under Hevea brasiliensis (rubber tree). Lineage: Eukaryota; Viridiplantae; Streptophyta; Magnoliopsida; Malpighiales; Euphorbiaceae. The record is from RNAcentral.